AUAUUACUCAGCGGAGGAAAAGAAAACAACCGUGAUUCCCUCAGUCAGCGGCGAGCGAAGAGGGACCGAACUCGUUGCCGAAUCGGGCCUCAACGGCCUUGAGUUGUGGCAGACGGCGGUCGGUGGAUGGUGCGGGACUGGCGAAAUUCAAUGUGCAAAGCAAACCCUGCUGAACACAACCCUUCAUGUGAGUAUUGAGCCAUAGAAGGUGGUAGCCCAUUGAGCCAGGAACCCGAGCGCCUCAUUGGCCGUCCUCGAGCGAGUAGCACUGCUUGGGAAUGCAGUGUCAAGCGGCAGGUAUUUGUCUGCCAAGGUUAAACACAGAGUGGGAAGACCGAUAUCGAACAAGUAGCGUGAGCGAAAGUUUGAAAAGCACUUUGGAAAGAGAGUGACAUAGAACCUGAAGUCGUGACAAUGACAAUGGAAGUACCUCCAUUUCCCUGGCCAAAACCCGCCCGCGAGCAUUCUGUCCGGCGGGCCCUGCGGGACCCGACCGGGAAACAUCAAGUGCCGAACCGGGCCAUGGGUGCAAUGAGCGGAGAGAAAGUUGAGAGCACCGCGUUUUCAGUAACGUGGCGAGCCUCGUCUUCUCCGUGAUACUCGAUGUUGGCAAACUACCGAAAUGGGGUGCCUUCA
This 636-nucleotide ribosomal RNA is filed under the name uncultured fungus. RNAcentral's name for it is "eukaryotic LSU rRNA". It matches the Rfam family "Eukaryotic large subunit ribosomal RNA", at positions 40 to 646 of the family's 3401-position model. The record is from RNAcentral. Lineage: Eukaryota; Fungi.